GACGAACGCUGGCGGCGUGCUUAACACAUGCAAGUCGAGCGGUAAGGCCCUUUCGGGGGUACACGAGCGGCGAACGGGUGAGUAACACGUGGGUGACCUGCCCUCAGCUCUGGGAUAAGCCUGGGAAACCGGGUCUAAUACCGGAUAUGACUCCAUGACGCAUGUUGUGGGGUGGAAAGCCUUGUGCGGCUGAGGAUGGGCCCGCGGCCUAUCAGCUUGUUGGUGGGGUGAUGGCCUACCAAGGCGACGACGGGUAGCCGGCCUGAGAGGGCGACCGGCCACACUGGGACUGAGGCACGGCCCAGACUCCUACGGGAGGCAGCAGUGGGGAAUCUUGCGCAAUGGGCGAAAGCCUGACGCAGCGACGCCGCGUGAGGGAUGACGGCCUGG
This 390-nucleotide ribosomal RNA is filed under the name uncultured bacterium. RNAcentral's name for it is "bacterial SSU rRNA". It matches the Rfam family "Bacterial small subunit ribosomal RNA", at positions 28 to 419 of the family's 1533-position model. The record is from RNAcentral.